GACGAACGCUGGCGGCGUGCUUAACACAUGCAAGUCGAACGGAAAGGCCCUGCUUUUGUGGGGUGCUCGAGUGGCGAAUGGGUGAGUAACACGUGAGUAACCUGCCCUUGACUUUGGGAUAACUUCAGGAAACUGGGGCUAAUACCGGAUAGGAGCUCCUGCUGCAUGGUGGGGGUUGGAAAGUUUCGGCGGUUGGGGAUGGACUCGCGGCUUAUCAGCUUGUUGGUGGGGUAGUGGCUUACCAAGGCUUUGACGGGUAGCCGGUCUGAGAGGGUGACCGGCCACAUUGGGACUGGGAUACGGCCCAGACACCUACGGGAGGCAGCAGUGGGGAAUAUUACACAAUGGGCGGAAGCCUGAUGCAGCAACGCCGCGUGCGGGAUAACGGCCUUCGGGUUGUAAACCGCUUUCGCAUGUGACGAAGCGUGAGUGACGGUAAUGGGUAAAGAAGCACCGGCUAACUACGUG
RNAcentral lists this ribosomal RNA (468 nucleotides) under uncultured bacterium. RNAcentral's name for it is "partial 16S ribosomal RNA". It matches the Rfam family "Bacterial small subunit ribosomal RNA", at positions 28 to 507 of the family's 1533-position model. The record is from RNAcentral.